AAGAACCACAAUUGCAUUGAACCAUAUUGAUGGUCCAAAUAUUUCAGUAAUUGUACGCAAGAGUGGCAUGUCACUGAAAUCCCGGGUUUGCAUGUCCAACCUAUCAAGAUACAGGACAAUAUCUGGAGGCGUUUUCUUUAUAAAACGCUUAACAGAGAGAAGGAUCUUCUCAUUUUGGCGCUGGUCUGACCAAGAGGAAAGAAGGCCCGGAGUGUCAAUUACCCGUACUUUGAUCCCCUGCACAGUUCCUACAACAUCUUGAACCUUUUUUGUGCCCAUUUGAAAAGCAUCAGUACUGAAUUUAACUUCGUCGAAGAUGGAGUUGAUGGUAGCACUUUUGCCCACACCUGUCUUUCCAAGA
This 361-nucleotide unclassified non-coding RNA is filed under the name Hevea brasiliensis (rubber tree). Lineage: Eukaryota; Viridiplantae; Streptophyta; Magnoliopsida; Malpighiales; Euphorbiaceae. The record is from RNAcentral.